This is a long non-coding RNA of Xenopus laevis (African clawed frog), 422 nucleotides long. RefSeq lists it as uncharacterized. The record is from RefSeq and is a predicted model, not a curated record. The transcript has 3 exons. Lineage: Eukaryota; Metazoa; Chordata; Amphibia; Anura; Pipidae.
AGAGCAGCCGUCUCUUUUCUCUGCAGGCUGACGGAGGAAGCCAGAACCUAUAAUCGGCAGGAAACAAGAACCAGGCUCUGCGUUGUUUGCAGAAGAGAAAGCUAGUGGAGCGUCGCAUUACGGAGCUGCAGAACAAGCAGGACAACAUACAGGGAAUCUUGGAGAGGAUAUCGGCUGCCAAAACAGACCGCAAGGUUGUCUCUGCGUACCAGAUGGGAGUCUCUGCUCUUAAACAGGCCCUAAAAGAUGUCACUUUGGAGAAGGCAGAAAGUAUUGUGGAUUAGAUUCAAGAGGUAAUAAUGGCUAAGGCUAAAAGGGGAAUUGUCUGUGCCUUUUGUAUGAAGACAUCAUUAUACUGUAAUACCUCCCAGCUAGGAUUGCCACCUCACCUCUUUAAAACAUAUGGAAUCCACAACCUGCAU